RNAcentral lists this ribosomal RNA (604 nucleotides) under uncultured bacterium. Its description in RNAcentral is "bacterial SSU rRNA". It matches the Rfam family "Bacterial small subunit ribosomal RNA", at positions 338 to 944 of the family's 1533-position model. The record is from RNAcentral.
CCUACGGGAGGCAGCAGUAGGGAAUAUUGGGCAAUGGAGGCAACUCUGACCCAGCCAUGCCGCGUGCAGGAUGAAGGCGUUAUGCGUUGUAAACUGCUUUUAUAUAGGAAGAAAUAGACCUUGCGAGGUAAGUUGACGGUACUAUAUGAAUAAGCACCGGCUAACUCCGUGCCAGCAGCCGCGGUAAUACGGAGGGUGCAAGCGUUGUCCGGAUUUAUUGGGUUUAAAGGGUGCGUAGGCGGUUUAUUAAGUCAGUGGUGAAAGACGGUCGCUCAACGAUUGCAGUGCCAUUGAUACUGGUAGACUUGAGUAUGAUUGAGGUAGCUGGAAUGGAUAGUGUAGCGGUGAAAUGCAUAGAUAUUAUCCAGAACACCAAUUGCGUAGGCAAGUUACUAAGUCAUAACUGACGCUGAUGCACGAAAGUGUGGGUAUCAAACAGGAUUAGGAUACCCUGGUAGUCCACACUGUAAACGAUGAUAACUAACUGUUGGCUUUCGGGUCAGUGGUACAGAGAAAUCGUUAAGUUAUCCACCUGGGGAGUACGCCGGCAACGGUGAAACUCAAAGGAUUGACGCUGAGACAGCGAGAGACGACGAGGGAGAGG